Molecule: RNA transcript, 1771 nt
Organism: Cucumis melo (muskmelon)
Lineage: Eukaryota; Viridiplantae; Streptophyta; Magnoliopsida; Cucurbitales; Cucurbitaceae
Gene name: diaminopimelate epimerase, chloroplastic
Exons: 10
Source: RefSeq, a predicted model, not a curated record
UUGCCCUAACCCGUACACAUCAAAACAAGGGUUUGGGAUAUAUGGGCCUGGCCAUUUUACGGCCCAAGGUUAAUUCUCACCAACGACGACUUCUUUCUCCGUCGAACCUUCUCAGCAGCCCAACGAUUCCGGCUUCUCUGCUGCUUUCAUUCACACCGAAAGCGGGAAGUUCAUACUCCGACUCCACAGCGCCGCCAUGGCCAUAGCCACCACCAUUUCUCUUCCACUUACCUCACCAUCGUCACGCUCUCUUGCUUCAAUUCCUUCUCUCCGAUUGUCUUUUACUUCUACACUUCAACUGGAUUCCCUUCCGAAGUACUUCGCUCGGAGAAGAAGCCCUAGGCUCUCCGUCUCCGCGUCUUCCGCUGGCCUUGAAGUUACAGAGAAAGCGCGGUCGUUGUCUUUUCUUGACCACAGAGAGAGUGGUCUCCUUCACUUUGUUAAGUACCACGGCCUCGGCAAUGACUUCAUCUUGGUUGAUAAUAGGGACUCGUCAGAGCCUAGGAUCACCCCGGAGCAAGCUGCUAAGUUAUGUGAUCGAAACUUUGGGAUCGGUGCUGACGGUGUCAUUUUUGCUAUGCCUGGCGUUAAUGGUACUGAUUAUACUAUGAGGAUAUUCAAUUCUGACGGUAGUGAACCGGAGAUGUGUGGUAAUGGAGUGCGAUGCUUUGCCAGAUUUAUUGCGGAGCUUGAGAAUUUGCAGGGAAGGCAUAGCUUCACUGUUCAUACUGGCGCUGGUCUGAUUAUUCCAGAACUUCAGGAUGAUGGACAGGUAAAAGUAGACAUGGGUGAACCAAUUCUCAAAGCAACAGAUGUGCCUACCCGAUUGACACCAACUAAAGACCAAUCUGUUGUUAAGGCAGCCAUAGAAGUAGAUGGAGUUGCAUGGAGCGUGACCUGUGUCAGUAUGGGAAACCCCCAUUGUGUAACUUUUGGCAACAAAAUUGAGCAGAAUCUGCAGGUCGAUGACAUAAAUUUAGCUGCAAUUGGUCCAAAAUUUGAACACCAUGAGAUGUUUCCAGCACGAACAAAUACAGAAUUUGUGCAAGUUUUAUCCAAUUCACACCUUAAAAUGCGUGUGUGGGAGCGUGGUGCAGGCGCAACACUUGCUUGUGGAACUGGAGCUUGUGCAGUCGUUGUUGCAGCCGUUCUUGAAGGUCGUGCUGGACGGAAUUGCACCGUUGAUCUGCCUGGAGGACCAUUACAGAUAGAGUGGAGUGAGCAAGACAACCACGUAUACAUGACAGGACCAGCCGAAGUAGUGUUCUAUGGAUCGGUUCCCCUACAUUGAAAGCAACCUAAAGAAUCAGAACAAAAUGGAAGUGUCAAAUUUUGGCCUCUCAGCCGGGUCAAGUGGAUUGUCCCGUGAGAUUGGAUGAAGGUGCAUGUAAGCUUCUCUGACUAAUGCAUAUAUAUAUAUAUAUAUAUAUAUAUGAUAUAUAUAUAUAUAAAAUUUUAGGAUAUAAUUGCCUUACUUUUUAUGGUUAUGAUCUCGGUUUGAUUUUGUACGACAGCAGAGUUCUUGGUCUUUUUUUUUUUUUUUUGCCCCACAAAUUUUCUUUCCACUCAUUUGUACAAAUUUUAGUGAAGUGUACUACAUAUCUAGAUUAGAGAAAUUGUUUUACUUAUCAAAUUUCUCCAAUCUUCCUAUUCCUUGAGAGGGUUUGGAACUAUAUACCUCUCUUAUUCGCUGACACUUUAAAUAUGUGAGUUGGGCUGUAACUUGCUUCGACCUCCAUUCUCCAUCAAAUCCCAGUUUGAUUGAAAGCUA